RNAcentral lists this ribosomal RNA (252 nucleotides) under uncultured bacterium. RNAcentral describes it as "partial 16S ribosomal RNA". It matches the Rfam family "Bacterial small subunit ribosomal RNA", at positions 524 to 776 of the family's 1533-position model. The record is from RNAcentral.
UACGGAGGGUGCAAGCGUUAUCCGGAUUCACUGGGUUUAAAGGGUGCGUAGGCGGGCAGGUAAGUCAGUGGUGAAAUCUCCGGGCUUAACCCGGAACUGCCGUUGAUACUAUCUGUCUUGAAUAUCGUGGAGGUAAGCGGAACAUGUCAUGUAGCGGUGAAAUGCUUAGAUAUGACAUAGAACACCAAUUGCGUAGGCAGCUUACUACACGAUCAUUGACGCUGAGGCACGAAAGCGUGGGGAGCAAACAGG